RNAcentral lists this ribosomal RNA (495 nucleotides) under uncultured bacterium. RNAcentral describes it as "partial 16S ribosomal RNA". It matches the Rfam family "Bacterial small subunit ribosomal RNA", at positions 28 to 507 of the family's 1533-position model. The record is from RNAcentral.
GACGAACGCUGGCGGCGUGCCUAAUACAUGCAAGUAGAACGCUGAAGGAGGAGCUUGCUUCUCUGGAUGAGUUGCGAACGGGUGAGUAACGCGUAGGUAACCUGCCUGGUAGCGGGGGAUAACUAUUGGAAACGAUAGCUAAUACCGCAUAAGAGUAGAUGUUGCAUGACAUUUGCUUAAAAGGUGCAAUUGCAUCACUACCAGAUGGACCUGCGUUGUAUUAGCUAGUUGGUGGGGUAACGGCUCACCAAGGCGACGAUACAUAGCCGACCUGAGAGGGUGAGCGGCCACACUGGGACUGAGACACGGCCCAGACUCCUACGGGAGGCAGCAGUAGGGGAUCUUCGGCAAUAGACGGAAGUCUGACCGAGCAACGCCGCGUGAGUGAAGAAGGUUUUCGGAUCGUAAAGCUCUGUUGUAAGAGAAGAACGAGUGUGAGAGUGGAAAGUUCACACUGUGACGGUAUCUUACCAGAAAGGGACGGCUAACUACGUG